Molecule: long non-coding RNA, 7233 nt
Organism: Gallus gallus (chicken)
Lineage: Eukaryota; Metazoa; Chordata; Aves; Galliformes; Phasianidae
Exons: 2
Source: RefSeq, a predicted model, not a curated record
GGCGGGCGGCGGGCAGCAUGGCGGCCGCAGAGGACACGGCGCCGCUCUGCCCCGCGCUCGACGAUCCCGGCGGCCCCCGCGGCGCGCGCCCGCCGCUCUAGGCAGCAGCGCCUCGCCUCGGUGGUGGAGCAGGGGAGGCGCUCUAGCCGCCGGGUCCGCCAGGACUCGCUGGUUCCGGUAGGUGUCGCACAGCCCACAGCCCCUGACUGAGGAGCCUGCGAGAUGGCAGGGAUGCUCUGUGACUGUGAUGCUGCAUUCUGUGGAGGAGAUGCUGCCAGUGAGAGGUUGUGCAAGCAACUGGAUCCCACAUCAAACCUAUGUUGCAAGAGCUCUAGGACCAGCGGGGCUCUCCUCUGGAAGCAGGUAGGACAUGACUUUCCUCUGCACAAUAGGGAGCCCAGGGCUGGGCCUAAUCCUUGCCCACACCCACAAGGAAAGCAGCACAGCAGCUCUAGAUCUGAGACCAACCAGCUCCUCCUCCCGCUGGUUCAAGGUUCAAGAACCACUGCUGGGGUUGGAGUACAGACACCAGCUCCACAGAACACCCCAGCCCUGCCCCAGCUGGCCACCAGCUGCUCUGCAGCAGCUGCUUUCACUUGCCUGGUAGCCCUGUGUUGCAGCUGGCUGAUAGGACGAGUAUGCUGGGGUUGUAGUGGGCACCGCCUGCCCCUGCUGAGCCGCCUGCCCGCUGCCUGCCCCUGGCUGGUACAUGUAGGCAUUCACCACGUUGGGAUCUGAAGCGAAGAGGGCAGAGAUGGAAGAAACUGCCUUUUUUUCAGCCUCUGCCCACACCGGAUCAGCACAUUAACAUACCUGUCCCAGUGACAGGCAUUGCUGUAUAUGGUCCUGUGCCCCCCUGUGCUGCCUGGUUCAUGUAUACACUAUGCAUGGGAGAGCCCUCCACAGAGCCAGCAGGGCUGAAGGUGCCAGGGAAGCUAGUGGGCCCUGAGGGCUGGUAAAUCACUCCACUGGCAGCUGGCAUGGCCUGGAGCUAUUGAGGGAAGAAAAGCAAGCUUUAGGCCAUGGUCCCCAGGACCCAGCAGGAGGGUCUCUUGCCCAGCAGUCAGACCUGGGCAUAAGGCAGCGAGAAAGCUGGCAUCUGGGCUCUCAUCUGGAUGGUCUGCUUCUGCUGUUCCAGGCGCAUCUGCCUCUCCUUCUCCUGCUCCUGCAGUCGCUGAAUGGCCAACUGACGCUGCAUCUCCAGGUACUCCUAUGGGAACAAUACCAGUGCUGUGAUGGCUGGAAGCUAGGACACAGCUAGGACCCUCCUGUCAGGACAGCCGUCCUUGUCAGCUCUGGCUGGCCCACAGUGCAUACAAGUGUGCAGGUAGAUCCACCCUGGACAUGCUUCUCUGCCUCACCUGCUUUUUCUGUCUCAUUAUCUCCAGCUUCUGGGCCAGCUGGAUCUGGCGCUGGCGCUCUGCUUCCUCUGCUGCACGCCGCACCUUCUCCCGAUGCUCUUCCCGCAGUGCAUUCAGAGCACCACGCGCAUCCCGGAUCUGGGCCAGUUUGUCCUGCAGGCUUUCAUAGUACACUGGGGAAGGAAAGAGUGCCUUAGGGAUCCUGUCAGUGCAGAACACUCAGACCAUCCCUGCACACUGCACUGGCUUCUCUCCAGACAAGCUGUAUCAUGGGAAUGCCACAUGCUGGCUCUGGAGGAUGCCCUGGCAGCCACCUGCUCCACCCCAGGACACCCAGCCCAGACUAGGACAGCUCCCACAUACUUCUGCGCUCAUCCAGCUGAUUGAGCAGCUCCAGCAGCUGGGGGUGCAUGUUGUUAAUGGACUGGAAGAGGGACAAUACGGCAGAGUCGUUGGUGAUGCUGCGGCCUCGCAUGUGGUUACUCUUCAUGCGGUUGACAAAUGUGGUGACUGCGUUUUGCAGAGCCUUCAGAAACUGCUCAUGGUUCUCCUCCGACUCACCGUUCUGGUACUGCUGCUGGAAGGACAGGGCAACCAGUCAGCCUCAGCUCACCCAUGCCAAGAACCAGCGGGAACUGUGGAGCUGGACUACGUGGUGGAGUCAGGUACUUCUCAUACCUCACAAGCUGCUGGACACAGGCUCAGGCCCCCUCUUACCUCAACAACACUGAGCGGGGCAGGGUGGGCUUCCCCAGGCUGAGCAACUGGCUCUGUGAGAGACAGAGGUGCUGAUGGGGUGGGGCUCUUGCGAACUUCCUCUUGUUUCUUCUCCCAGUAGUUGCGGUUCAGGUACCGAGCCAGCUGCCAGGAAGUGAGGGAAGAUGAGCAUCACGGCCCCGCUGGGAGCAGCCCUGCACCAUGGACUCAUCCAUCAGUCCUGCAUCCUUACCUCAGGGUCAAUGUCCUCAGCCAGGGGAGCAGAAGAAUUCUGGAAAGAGGUGAACAGGGAAUCCAGUUUUGAGAAAUCAGAUAAGUGCAGCUCGUACCAGCCAUCUGGCCCAGACCUGGCCAUGCACAACUACCAGUGCUGAGCGGCAGAAUGAGAGGGGUACAGCCAUCUCCUUCAGCCAGAUACAGACUGCAGCUACUGGAAGCAGCAGCCUGAGCCACAUGCUAUCAGCAGAGGCAUCUAAAUGUGAGCUGAUUUUCCAUCCAAAAAAAACCUUGCAUUGUCAAAAACCAAAGGACUGAAGGGAGCAGAACUAUUCUCUUAGGGAUCAAAUCUGAUCCAAGCAGGGAAGAGCUGGGCUGUGGAAUUGGCCUGUGCCCAGCUACUUCAUGCUUAGAGGCUUCUGUGAACAUACCACGGGGGGGGAAUAGAGCGUGCCCACCGGCGGAGCUGAUGAUGUGACGGGUGUGGGCUCAGCCUUCGGGUACAUAGAGUAACUUGUCUUCUGUCUCUGCAAAAACGAAAGGGGAAAAAAGAAAAAAAAAGAAAAAUCAAAUCAGAGACUGUCCAGGUUCGUCCCAGUCAGCAGCACAUUGGGCACAGUGGGGAGGUGAAUCCCCUUAUGGUGUCUAGGCACAGUCAGCAGACUCAGCCCCAUGGUCUACAAUUCUCACAGCCUGGCAGGCCACAGGGUUUGCAUCCAGGGCACAGCUUGCUCCCAUUUUUCAGCUGUACAACAUGUGUGCCUGGCUCCCUUUUCACCCUAAUCUCAUUCCGCAAGUCCCCAUACCUCUCACAUACCAGGACAUGCCUAGGGAUCUAUUACUGCACAGCUAGGAGAUAACCCAGCACAUCUGGGCUGCGUGGCAAAAUACACUCCCAGAUGCCAAACAGGGUACGAACCAUCCUCUCCUUCUCCUCGGCCUCUGACUGAGACAAGGCAAUGGCUAACUGGAGCUCUUCUUCUUCUUGCAGAGCUGUCUCAUCACGCUUUGGGGGCAGCUGCAAGUAAAAGAUGAAGAAGUGGCCACUAAGGGGAUCAACAAGCAGGCCAGGAUCACUAGGUCACCUAGUGAGGGGAGCCACACACCUGGGACUGCUGAGAGAGGGGGCUGGUCAGGUACUCAGGGGGCAGUUCAGAGGCAGCAGCAGCUUUACCCUCAGCUUUCCUGUAGCCAGGAAGAGGUGACAGUGCAGAAUGAGCUUCUUCCUUAGCACCGGAGCCCCAGUUUUGCACAACAUUACAGCUGUAAAGCCCAUGCCCAGAAGAGACAAAACCCAGAUAGCCUGCACAACUUGGGAAACCCUUUGCCCUGGUCUUUGGAGAGACGGCUCCAUGCCAAGUGUUUCCCCUCACAGUACCAACUGUUGAAAGCAAAAAACAUGCCACCAAGGGUACUGACUUGUUGAGAUGCUCGUAACAGGGCUCACACACUCUCACUUCCUUCUCAAUCCCGAACUUGGGAAUAGUGGAAUACUUGGAGGAACACUUGCCACAGAAGAUCUGCCCACAGGCCCUGCAGUGAUGCUGGAAAAUAUGGGAGACAUCAGUGUGGUAGUGAGACACUUUUUCACUGUUGGACAAGUUCACUCAGACAGGAACAUGUUCCCACCCAGAUGCAAUUCCACACAGGCUCAAGGAGUCUUGCACUUUCUGGAGGGACUGCAAAAGACUAGGGAACCCAGAAAGGCAGGAAUAGCACCCACCUUCCGUGUCACCACACCAAACUGCACUCGACACCUGUGACACUCCUCAGCAUCCACCCAGUCUGGAGCCUGUUGGGUUCAAAGAAACUUGUGUGAGGAAGGGAGCAAUGUCUCAAGGAUGGUGGCUCCACAGAGCCUUUCAGGAUCUUCUCUGACUAACUAAAGCUGUUGUGAAUGAGGCAGGAGGAAAGCAUUUGCAGGAUAUUGGUCCUUGCAAGUGGUCACUUCUCAUGUUACUAGACUGUGACACUUUCCCAGUCAGCAGGAUUACAGCAAUCACUUCAGCCAUGCUCUGCUACCACAUUCAGUCUGCCAUGCUGCUGGAAAAUCACUGAGUAGGUCCUUUCUGUAGGGUGCUGUAUGUAACUGUUGAGUCACGGCCCGAACCACUGAUUGAGCACCUGGGGAAAGGACCCAGUCAGCUCUGGGAGCACAGGUGAAGGCAAUUCACCUGUGUGAUUGGAAGGGGUGGAGCCUGGCUGCACUUCUCUUACACCUCAUUUAAGGGCUGACUGCCACUGGGGAGGGCUUCUUUCCUGGAGGUCCAUCCUUGGUGAAUUUUUCCCCUGCGAAUCUAGAACCUUCUGAUACGGGUGAGCAAUCUUCUUCCUUUUUUUUUUUAUAGCACCUCUCUAUUAUGCCAGUUCUUUUGUCAUCACAUCUUUGUUGUAAUGCCUUUCCCAUUGUAUUGAUCUGUCUAACAGCUACAGGCACUUAGCAAGAUGAGACUAAUUGACCAGGACAGGGUCGGCUGUCCCUUCCCUCUAAGCCAUUUUUGGCCAAGCUGCUGUAUUCAGAAUUGCUCAGGUGACAGCUGAGAGCAAUAUGCACCCAUAUCUGUAAUCUGAGUGAAAUAGGAGAAAGCAAGAACUGAAGAUUUAGUAUCUCAUGGGCUACAACAGCAAGGUCUACCCUGCAGUGCCAGCUCCCUUUCCAGCAGUGAAGCUCACCCUUUCUGCAGCAAACAUGGCAUCGCUUUCCUUGAACUCUGGAAACACGUGACCUGUGGGAGAAUAGACAGUGUUCCAUUGUGAAAGGGCUUCUCCUGCACAUGGAAUAUCUUAAGUCCAGACUUCACCAGUGCCCAGCUAAGACCCAAAGCCCACUCCUUCUGCAAAGCUCCUCUGGAGUAGAUCUGCUUAGCAACUGUCCACCCACCUUUGCCCCGUUGUCCUCACCUUCAACCUUCAUUAUCUGAUAGGUGUCCUGCACCACCUUGUACUUGGGCUCAUUGCGGAAGGCAUGAGCCCAGGCCUGGAUAAGGUUCAGAAUCUUACUGCGGACACUUGUUUCCACUUGCCUCUGCACAGAAAGGGGAAGAAAAAAAAAUCUGAGAAAAAAGUUCCUGAAACACAGAAGAGGAGCCAAAUACUAUUUAUAGAGAGAGAGACUUAGAGUUCUUGUGCAAGCAAGCUGCAAGCAGGACAACCUACAGCAAGGACUGUUCCUCCUUCAGCUUUCUCACUUCCUCACUUCAGCAUAAAUGGGAGGACAUCCUUCAGAAUGGCACAAGUCGACUGGAAAAGGGGUGUAGUCACAAUGCUUUUGGAAAACAUCUACAGAGACUUAUACAGUUGCUCCCCAGGGGAAGUGUAAGCACUGGCCUGCCAACAUUCUUGUUUACCUUCUCAUAAGAGCUGAUCAUCCUGCACUCCAAAACCUGCAAGAAUGAUAGCUACCCAGCUGGACAGGACAGCACAAUCUGAUUCACCCCAGUUCUGACAGGUCACCACAAACACAAAGCAGGAGGCUGUUUGUGCCUAGCUGUCAGCAGCUCCAGCUUAGACACUCUUGCCCAUUAGUAUUCAAAGCUAACUUGGAUACGAUGCAAUAAGGACAGCUGGGAAGCCUGCCCUUUGGAGGCAAGGGCAGUUGUAUCACAGCUCAAGAACAGAGGAAACUUGGCAAGCCCAUUCCUAUCCCAGCCAGCCUCUAAGUGCACCCUGUCAUCAGCUGACCAAGUCAUGGCCUGCUCACAUGACCAGUUUCUCCAGAAGUCACCCAGGAAGCAGAGAGGCAUUGUCACACUCCUGUUUCAGCUGAGAACUCAGCCCACGCAGUGUGAUUUAGUGAUAGUUCCCGGAGCUCCAAACUUAUGGAAGAAUUGUCAAAAUCUUGCUUUCCACAAAUGGCACAGCCCUGAGCCUCAUCAGAACAAAGGUAAUUUUAAAUAGCAUUAGGUGUUCACAAGCAGCAAAGUUCCCAGUGUAGGAUGAAAAUGGGUCUGCAACAGUUAUGAAACUGCUGAGGCAGGUAAGGAUUGAAGAGCAUGACAAAAAUCUCUCAAUCCAAUCUGGUCUGAUUUCUUCAGUGCCUGGGGUGGCCGUGCGACUACACCUGGCCUUCACAUUGUGGCAGCAUUCCAAGUUCAACAGAAGAUACUGUAUGAAGACUGAGUCAGCCCCCAACCGGAAAAUGACAGAAGAGAGACACUCUGCUACGUUGCAUAAGAUGACAGACUAGUACAGCUCACUCCACAAAUAUCUGGGUCAUCUGGUUGUCCAUCUUCUGCCAGAAAUAGGGACUAUAAAGAAGUAAUAGCAUCACUCUUACAAGCUCUUGCCUGUGCAUUGCUUUUCUUGGGACUGGGAACUGAAGACACAGGUUCUUAUUUGCUCCUCACUCUGGGAAGUCUCAAGGCCUGGGACAUAAGGAGCUCUUGCAGGCAUCACGUUAUAUCACACUGACAAGUGAUACAAGUCUACAUCCUGCAAAACUCCCCGGGCCAGUUCCACAGGCCAAUGAAAAGGCCAUAGUAAAGAUGAAACUUCUGUCAGUUUUCACCAUGCUGCUUACCUUCCUGCAUGUCUUACCCUGGUCUACAGGAAGGGAAUUCACAUACAGUGCUCGUAUCCUAGGUGAAGCUGUCUGAGCAUCUUCUCUAUUUUUCUUUGCCAUCUCUGGUCAAGCAAAGCAUUACGCCCAACAGCACCUAUCAUGAAUGUCUGCCCUUACAGCAUAUUCCUACCCCAUGAUAUAACCAAACAUUAUCAUUGCUCUCAUGAUAUCUUCUCUCCCCAGCAGGCACUCUUCUGUGUUCUACACUCCCUUUGCAUUAAGCAGUACAGGUUGCUUUUCUCUGAAAAAGAUUUCCAGUUUCCCAGUCGGUCCUUAAACACAGAGAAUGAAAUGCAGAACAUGCACAUCUUCUCUUUUCAUUGCCUCUCUUGCAACUUUAUUUGAAAAUUGAAGUAAAAUAACAUACAUUUACCUUGA